UUGGAGUUAUGGGGAAAUUUUGGAUGGUAAUUGAAGAUGACAUUGUGGGCUUUCCAAUGGUAUCAAAAUUCGAUAGUUUUGAUGGUCGAAAGUUGCCGAAAAAUUGCCUUAAAAGUCAUCAAAAAAUCUGAAAAUCUGGGCAGAUUUUCAAAAAUUUUGGGCAAAUUUUAAGGCAAUUUUUCGAUCGAAUUCCUUGGAGUUAUAAUGAGAUUUUGGAUGGUAAUUG
This 226-nucleotide long non-coding RNA is filed under the name Olea europaea (common olive). RNAcentral's name for it is "long non-coding RNA (OEUR_LNC010464)". Lineage: Eukaryota; Viridiplantae; Streptophyta; Magnoliopsida; Lamiales; Oleaceae. The record is from RNAcentral.